This 7643-nucleotide long non-coding RNA is filed under the name Piliocolobus tephrosceles (Ugandan red Colobus). Its description in RNAcentral is "lncRNA (ENSPTEG00000016940.1)". The record is from RNAcentral. Lineage: Eukaryota; Metazoa; Chordata; Mammalia; Primates; Cercopithecidae.
UUUUUUUUUUUUUUUUUUUUUAGUGCUAACAUAUCAUUACGUAUGUAUAUAUGUAACGACCUCAUGUGUUCAUUAGUUUGUUCGCCUAUUUGUUCUCCUGUUUGUUCUCCUGUUUGUUCGCCUGUUUGCUCGCCUGUUUGCUCGCCUGUUUGUUCUCCUAUUUGUUUAUUCGUUUAUUUGUCUGUUCGUUUGUUUAUUUUUACGAACUUGUUAAUGCACUUAUUUGGAUAAGAAAAAUGACUAUGAAAAAACAAAAUAAUUUCAAACAAUGUACGGAAGAUUUAGUUUUUUUAGAAAAACAAGAACUAAUCAAAGUGGAAAAAUCUGAAGACAUAUGUCCUAAUACUAAUGUAGCAGAACGUGAGAAUAAUGUCAUUUCAGAUAAAACAGAUAAAGCCACAAAUAAAUAUAUAGUAAACAACAAUCAAUGUAUUUUUCAAGAUAAUAAAAGUAAGGAUGGUGUGGACCACCAUGCUGAAUAUGACAAUCGUGACAGUCGCAACAAUCAUAGUAGUGAUAACAAUCAUAGUAGUGAUAAUAAACUAGGCUCAAUUAAUGAACGUUAUGAUGAAAAAACAAAUAAGAAGUUGAUUUGUAGAAUGAAAACCGACAACAGUAGCUACUUUAAAAGCACUACCAGUUGUAACAAAUCGUGUGAUACAUCAUGUUAUACUAAAGAACACAUUAUACAAAAUGGCAACUACUCUAAGGAUAGAAAUAUAUAUAAAAGUUAUAAUAACAUAAUACAGAAUGGUUUAAUUAGCUGCAAUGAUAGCACCUCUAAUAAUGUAAGUGAUACAUACAAAGUGUUGUUAAAUGUUUGUUUAGAUGAAAUAAAAAAAUGUUUAGGUGAUCAAGACAUUGGUGAAUCAGAUAUAAAAGGGUACCAAGGAUGUCAUUACAACACGACUAAGCACCACGAGUACCACUACAACAUGCAUGAACAAACAACUGACUGUUCAAAUGGAUAUUGCCAAAUACAGAAUAAUAAUGAUAAUAACUUUUUAUGUGAUAACAAUUUAUAUAAAAAAAAAAAAAAAAAAAAAUGCGUAAAUAAGAGAUACUCAUGUUUAAAUAAUGAUAAUAUAGAAAAUCAUAAAAAAAUAGUAAAAAAAAGUAGAUUAUUUGAUAAUGAUGAUGAUGAUGAUGAUGAUUUUAAUAUUAAUGAAUGUGAUAAAAUAAAUUAUGCGGAACAUAAAAUAAUGGCUAACCAUGUUGUUACUUCACACAGUGACGAAAAAUGCAUUACGAAUGGUUCAUGUUGUUGUAGAAUAAAUAAAACAGCAUGUUGUAAUAACAGUAGUAAAUACAACAACAGUACCUGCUAUAAGAACAGGAACAAUUAUAACAUCAGUGAUGCGAGUAAAACACUCGGAGAAGAAGAAAAAACAAAGGAAAUUGAAAAAAAGAUUUUGUUCGAUAUAAUAAACGAAAAAAACUUUAAUUUAGACAAAAAUCAAAUAGAAUCUGAUUUAUUUAAUAUUUUUAAAAAUAUGAUAAAUGUGUUGACUUAUAAAUAUCCCCAACUGAACAUAAAAGAUUUUUUUUUUAAUAGUCAAGAUAAAUUAAAAAAGGAGUAUGAAUUUAAUAGGGAACUAUCAAUAAAAAAAACAAGUAUUGAUUGUAAUGGUCAUCAUAAUAUAUAUAAUAAAAUAAAAAAUAAAUUAUAUUAUUCUACUAAUAAUAUAAAAAAAAGAAAUCAUACCAUAAAUUUAAAAUAUAAAAGUGAUAUAUUUAAUUAUUGUAUUAAAAAUAUAAAAAGAAAUAUAACUAUAUUAUCUCAUUUUAUACCUCGAAAAAUAGCAACUAAUUUUAUUACGAAAAUAAAAUUUGAUGUCACUUCAAAUAAUAUAAUAACAGCGGGAAAAGAUGGUUUUAUAAAAAUAUAUCAUCUGUUAACUGGAAAUUUGAUUUGCUCAAUAAAAGUACAUUUAAAUAGUAUUUCUGAUUUUGAUAUUCAUCAAUCGAAUAAAUAUAUUAUAUCUUGUGAUGAAAAAGGAAUAAUAAAAUUUACGCAUAUUGACAAAUAUAAACAUAAAUCUAUACUGACUUAUAAACGAUCAUUUACUAUGAAUAAAGUCCAUUUUUAUUAUGAUUAUCAUGUAUGUAACAGAUCUAGCUAUCAGCAUGGUAUAUCUUGUAGCCAUAUAAACUGUGGAAAUCGUAAUUGUUUGGAAUAUGGCAGUCGUAAUUGUUUGGAAUAUGGCAGUCGUAAUUGUUUGGAAUAUGGCAGUCGUAAUUGUUUGGAAUAUGACAGUCGUAAUUGUAUGGAAUGUGGCAGUCGUAACGAUGUGAAUGAUAUCUAUCGAAAGGGUAGCUAUCACCCACCUAACCCACCAUAUUACACGACGUACGCAUUUUGCUCAAAUAAUGGUUUUUUUUUUAUUAUAAAAUUCGAUGACAUAAGUAAUGACACUAAUUUAAUUGCAUCUAUAAAUACAUCAACACUAGGUGAACCAAAUUUAUUUCCAGUUUUACAGUUUUCUUAUGCAUUACACUAUAACGUGGCACCAUAUAUAUAUAACAACCUGGUUAUAUCAAAAAAUAGCAUAAAAGAAUUAAAGAAUAGUUACUUAUUUUUUAUACCUACAUCAAACGAGUUGGCUGACAAGUUUAAUGAACACUACGUUACAAAUAUAAAUUAUAAUUAUAAAAAAGGAAAAAGAAAAUUAAAGUAUAUUUUUUUGACAAAUAAAAUAAUGUAUGAUAAUGUAGGCUAUAGCGAAGAUAUGUAUAAUAUUACCCAGAAAGAUGUUAUUAUAACAAAAUAUGUAAAUAAAAUUGAUGGAGACAUGUGUGUUGGUGGUACAUGUAAGUGUAACGAUUGUGCUGCAAAUAAUGACGUUAUAGAAAUAUCUCACAAAAUAGAUAGAUCAAAGAAAAAAAGUGCUGAAGAAGAUAUGUAUUAUAUUCAAUUUUUAAAAUAUUUUGAAAUCAAUAUUUUACAGAAUUUAAAAAAUAGUGUUGGUUUAGUUUUAUUUAAGACAUUUUCAGAUUUUGAAGAAGAUACAAUAUUAUUUGCUUUUUCGAACAACACAUCUGAUUUUGUGACUGUUAAUGCUAGUGGGUCUAUUUAUUUUUGGUUUUUCCAUAAGUAUCUACUUGAUGGUAGUGGUUCUAAAAGUAAGCCCACUAAUACGACCACUAGCACAACCAAUGGUAAAAUCGAAAUAUACUGUUUCUACACGACUUUAUACGUCAAGUUUGUUAUAGAAUCCAACGUUAUAAAUGAAUAUAACAAAGCCAAAAAUAACAAAAAUGAAAAUAAAUAUUCUUCAAAAAACACAACAAAAACAGAUGACGCAAAAAAGUUAUUUGUUAUAUCAUCAACAUCAUCCUCUUCUUAUUAUUUUUCAUCAAGUGAAUGUGAGGAGAAACCGAAAAAAUGUAAAGAUAAUAUAACAGAAGAAGAAAAAAAAAAGGGGUUAAACAACAAUCGAAAAAUUUUCAAUACCACUACAACUGUAGAUGAUUGUACUAAUACAGCCAGUAAAACGAACGUGAAUUAUAGUAAUAAUGUAUUAUCUAACAUAACUGAACAUAUUAACAAUCGAAAUGGCUUUACUACUAGAGAUAACAUUAAACAUAAUAAUACUAUAAAUACUCAUAAAGAAAUUAAUUUAAAUAAUUUUUAUAACUAUGAUAAAAUUUUUUGUGGGAGUAAAACCCAAGCAGAAAGACACGGGUCAUCAAAUGUCUAUUCUUGUUCGAAUAUUAUUACCAGUAACGGAUGUAACAACACUAAUUGUAACUAUAAAGGUAACACUGUCCAUAUUAUAAACUCAUUACUUAAUUCAAUAAUGAACGAAAAAGGUACUAUUAAAUAUCGAUCAAAAAAAUUGUACUACAGAAUAAGUAAAAUCGCUUUUACGACAUCAGACGAAUAUAUAAUAGUCGGUGAUGGAAUAACAAAUAAAUCUAAUUCAACAAAGGAAUUUAUAAGUGCAGUUACAACAAAAACGAAUUUGUCUAUAUUUUGUAUAAAAACAUGUAAAGAAAUUCAAAAUUUUGAAAUAAAAAAAUGCACAAGUUAUGUUAGUUUUAUUGAGCCUAAUCCAUAUUAUAAAGAUAUUGUUUUAUUUGGCUGUUUUAAAAAAUAUAUUUUUUUAAUAAAUAUAUCCAAAAAAAAAAUGGUGAAAAAAUAUUCAUAUGAUAAUGAGUUGAAAAAUUUAAGUGCUGAAUGGAAUAAAAAUGGUUCUACUUUUAUUGUUUCUCAUAAUUUUGGAUAUUUUUCUAUUUUUUCGAUGAAUAACAGUGCUUGUUAUAAAUUGACUUUAUCUGAACAGAUUACUUCUUUACAGCUUAAAAAUUUUAAUAAUUAUGUUAUAACAAAUGAAAAUAGUUUAAGUGAUGAGCAAACAGAGAUAUUACAAGAUGUUUAUAUGUUGAAUACUCAUGGAGAAAAUAAUCAGGUUACCAAUUAUCUUAUGCGAAAUAAUUACGUAGCAACUAAUAGAGUAAUAAACACUAGCUGUAUAAAUAAUACAUAUGUUCUUAUUGAUAAUAUACAUAAUGAUAGAGAUACGUCGAGUAAUAGAUACAAUGGUUAUAGUAACAAUGAAAAUGGUACAAACGAACUAAGUAGUAGGGUAGUGGUGCCGAAUAACUCGCGAGCGGGUACGCCUGAUAUUAGUCGCACUUGGCUAAGCCGGAUAAACAACACACGUCUGAGAAUACAUAGCACGAAUGGUAACAAUAACAAUGGUAACAAUAACAAUGGUAACAAUAACAGUGGUAGUAAUAACAGUGGUAGUAAUAACAGUGGUAGUAAUAACAGUGGUAGUAAUAACAGUAACAGUGGUAGUAAUAAUAACAAUAUUAGGAGUGGCAGGAAAUCAAAAAGAGUAAUAAAAGACUCAUCAGAGGAAGAAUCAGAAGUGGAAAAAACAAUUUAUACAUUAGACUCAGAUAGUAGCAAUGAAAAUAAUUUUAAAGAUGAAAAAAAUACUCAGAAAAACAUUAAGUCUUUAAAAAAAAAACGCAUUAAUCGUUGCAACAGUAGCUAUAGUAAAGCCAAUUGUGGUAAAUCUAGAUACAACAAAACCAGUAGUAACAGAUAUGAUGAUAGUAAAACAGAAAGUGAUGAUGUAAAAAUAGUUGAAAAUGGUCGAUUUAAAAAAAAAGAUAAACAAUACGUUAUAAAUUUAGAAAACAUAGAAACAAGUAACAAGGAAGUCAUAAAUGUAGAGGAUGUACACAGCCGAAAUAUAUUUAAUAAGUGCUUUAAAAAAAAUGAAAUAAUUAAUAUUGAUAAUAUAAUAACAAAUACUGUUACAGAUGGUGUUGUCAAUGAUGUUAAUGCAUGUAUUUCUGACUGUAAAAAUAAUUAUAAAGAAAAAGAUGUAUCGAGCGGAAAAAAAAAGAAAAAAACAAUCAAAAAGAAAAAAAAAAAGAAAAAAUUAAGUAUAAAUGAUGACACGAGUUCAACCAAGCGUGAUAGUAAUAAUGGCAAUAGUAUUAGUAGUAAUAGUAGUAGUAGUAGUAUUAGUAGUAGCAGUAGCAGUAGCAGUAGCAAUAGCAAUAGGAGUAGUAUUAACUGUAUCAAAAUAAGUGACAACGAUUUUGAUUCAUAUACUUGUAACUCGCUCAAUGGUUUAUUAAACGAUAAUAAUAAAAUUAUAACAAAAUAUAAUUUUGCAAAGAAUAAAAAAAUAAAUAAUUUAAAACAUUUUUUUAGUUCGAAAUGUAAAGAAGAAAACGGUGGAUCAGGUAAAAGUGACGAAUUAAAUAUAAAAAAAAAAAAAAAAAAAAAAGAAAACAUAAACGAUAUAGUGUUAGAUAUAGAUGAAUAUAGUUCAAUUAGUCUUUUAAGUGAUAACACAUGUAACAGAAAUUACUCUGAUGAUUUGUUUUCAGAUGUUUCUAUGCAUAACUCAUGCUUUUUUUCAUCUGACAGUUCUUUUGUAAGUGUACAUACAGAAUGGUGUGAUGAUAAAAGUAAUAGUCGUUACUCACAAAGCUCAUAUGAAACUGAUAAUUAUAAUAACAAUGAGAAAUAUGCAUCAUAUCAUAAUGAAUUGUCAGUAUAUAACAGUAACCAUAAAAAAAGCAUUGUUCAUAAAUUGCGGUACGCAGUAAAACCAAACGACCAUACAAAAAAUGACUUACUCGAGAUGAAUCAUAGGAAGGGUAUAUACAACCAUGGUCAUAAUGAAAAUGAAGUAAUUAAAAAAGGAGAUAGUCAGGAUGAGAGUGAUUAUAAGCAUGACCAUAAGUGGGACAAUAAGCAUGACCAUAAGUGGGACAAUAAGCAUGACCAUAAGCAUGACCAUAAGCAUGACCAUAAGAAUGACCAUAAGAAUGAACAAAUAAAAAAUCGCAAUGCUCAUACAAAUUAUAACAACAUUUUAGAUACAUUUCAACAUAACUAUAUAUCACACAAUUGUAAAAAUAGAAACUCUAAUAGAGACAAAAAUAAGCAGCAAGUUUUGAAAGAACGUAAAAAGCGUAAAAAGCGUAAAGGACUUAAAAAAAUAGAAGGCAAAGAUAAUAUUAUACUAAACGAUUUUAAUAAUACCAACGUAUUAAUUGAUAAAAAUAUGUGUGCGUAUAAACAAAACUUACAACCUUUACUGCCAUUGUUUUCUAGUUUUAGUGUGCCCAACACAAAUUUUAAGCUACUCAACACGUACUCACAUUACUUUAUGACAAGCAUAUAUUUUGCUUAUUUAAAAAAUAUAAAAAAAAAAAUGAACACUAAUAAAUACAUAAACUUUGAAUUGUUAUUACUAUAUGACGUUGUGUAUAAAAUUGUUAUUAAUCAUUAUAAAAAAAACAAUGCUACUAUGAUUGACUACAAUAUGGACAUUUAUAAUAAUUAUGUAGCCAUAAAUAAUAAAAAAAUAUAUAUUAAGGAUAAGAAAACAGGUGGUGGCGGUGGUGGUGGUAAUUAUGAUGGAGGUGGUGAUUAUGAUGGAGGUGGUGAUUAUGAUGGAGGUGGUGAUUAUGAUGGAGGUGGUGAUUAUGAUGGAGGUGGUGGCCAUGAUAAUAAUAAAAGCAGUAUUACUAACUAUAAUUUACCUUUAAAAAAAACAAAAAUAAUGCAUGAUAGUAGUAAUAACAAACAAAAUAAUAUUAUUAAUAAUUAUACAUUAAUAAAAAAUGAGGAAAGGCAUCCUUUAAAAAAUCAAACAAAUGAACAGUGCAUGCUUGAUAAUAGCCAUACUAAAAAUAAAAAUAUGAUAAAAAAUAUGACUAAUAAUAAUAAUAAUAAUGAUAAUAACAUCAAGGUCAGUGAAAAAGAUAAACGUUUUCUAAAAAAACUAAAUAGAUAUAUUGAAUAUUUUAAAUACGGAAACACUGGCACUGGUCAUAAUAGUACGAACAAAAAGGACAAAAUGAGAAAGUAUUUUUUAAAUGUGAUGAAAGUAAAUAACAUAUAUAAACAUUAUAUAUUUACAAAGGAUUAUAAUAGGUUGAAUGAAAUAAUGACAAAUAGUUAUAAUACUCUUGGUACUGGUAAUGAUUAUUAUUGUUAUAGCAGCAGUGGAAACAGCACGACAUGUCAUAGCAGAAAUGGAAACAUUAUCAAAAACAAUGUGCAUAAUAGCUACUAUGAUAACUAUAAAAAAAACUUAGAUAAAAUAAAUACAUGCGUUUUAUUACGCUUUGCUCAGAAGCUACCAUGUAAAAACGAAGAAGAU